CAAUAGCGUAUAUUAAAGUUGUUGCAGUUAAAAAGCUCGUAGUUGGAUUUCUGAUCGAGACAUCAGGUCGAGUCCGAGAGGAUCAUGUACUUUGAUUUUGUUUUGAUCAUCCUUGGGGAGAGCAUUUCUGGCAUUCAGUUGUCGGGAUUGGGAUCCUCAUCGUUUACUGUGAAAAAAUUAGAGUGUUCAAAGCAGGCCUCGGCCUCUGAAUACAUUAGCAUGGAAUAAUAAGAUAGGACUUUGGUGGUCUAUUUUGUUGGUUUGCACGCCAAAGUAAUGAUUAAUAGGGAUAGUUGGGGGUAUUCGUAUUCAAUUGUCAGAGGUGAAAUUCUUGGAUUUAUGGAAGACGAACUACUGCGAAAGCAUUUACCAAGGAUGUUUUCAUUAA
This 388-nucleotide ribosomal RNA is filed under the name uncultured eukaryote. RNAcentral describes it as "partial 18S ribosomal RNA". It matches the Rfam family "Eukaryotic small subunit ribosomal RNA", at positions 592 to 976 of the family's 1831-position model. The record is from RNAcentral.